GGGGCGCUGGGGGACGAGGGGGGCGCUAUUCCGGGCGGCCACUGGGGGGCGCCGGGGGUCGGGAGGGCGCUAUUCCGGGGGGGGUCACUAGGGGGCAGUGCGUGGCGGGUGAGAGAUCAGCGGGGGGCAGCGCUCCUCCCUCCUGUGUCUGCCCCCCGCAGGGUGGAGCCCCCUGGACGUGCUGCUGCAGGCCCUCCUGGCCACCCCCGUCUUCCUCGCCGCCCUCUUGGCCUUCGUGUUGGACAACACGGUGCCCGGGACCCGAGAGGAGCGGGGGCUGCCGCCACCGCCGGGCCCCCCGGGCCCCGCCGCCCGGACCCCGCCAGCCGCCGCCGCCGCCCUCCUCCUCGGCGGGCCGCCGGACGAGGCCGCCCGGGCCCAACCGGUCCGCGACGCGACGGACGAGGCCGCCCGGGCCGCCCGGCUGUACGGGCUCCCCGGGCCCCUGAGCGCCCUGCGGCCUCUGCUGCCCCGGCCCCUCCGCCGCCUCUGCCCGCCACCCCCGAGCGGCGGGGACAAGAGGCAGGACCGCCCCCAGCCGGGGGAGGCCGUCGAAUUGGUGCCCGCUCCCGGGGGGCCCGGGGCCGUGUGAGCACCCCGUCGGCGCCGGGGGGCUUCGCGGGGGCGCCCCGGCCUUCCUUCCUUCCUUCCUUCCUUCCGGCCCUCGGUUCCCUCUCCCUCUUCCCCGGGACGCCCCAGGGUGGGGCACGGACGAGGGCCGCUGCGGCCUGGGGGGCGUCCCCCUCGGGGACCCUGGUCCCCGCUCAGCCUCCCCCAGGACCCCAGACUCCCCUCUCUCCCGGGGAGCAAGCGAGCCUCCCGGGGGGGCGGUGGGGCGGGCCCCGGGUUCGGAGGUCACGGUUCCGCUUCGGGCCUGUGGCGCUGGGCCGGCCCUCCCGCCGCCGGUCCUCCCCGGAAUGGGAGUGGGGGGCACGGAAUGACCUUAUAAAGCCAAAUGACCUCACGCCCCUCCCGGAGACUUAGCGCCGUGUGUCCGCGUCGUCGCCGGUCUUCAGUCGGUCCUAUUUAUCGAGCGCCGACCGGGACCCGGGGAGGGUCACCGGCGGCCGACGGGCCAUCUGGGGACCGCCUACCGUCCCCACACAGCUUCCCCCACCCCUGGGGCUCCGGGUCGUCGGGGGCCGUUCAAUUUCCUUUCUUCCGCCCGUCCUCGUCUCCUUUCGAUUCUCGAACAGACACACGUUCCCUACCCACAGUGAGCUUACGGUCCGGAGUCGUCGUCGAUCGGUAAUCGAUCUCGCCGCCAGCCCCUCGUCUACAUCCUUCCUCCAGUCUGGAACUCCCUCCCACUCUUUUUUUUUGAAAUGGUAUCUGUUAAGCACCUCUCUGUGCCUCAUUUACCUCAUCCUGUAAAAUGGGGAUGAAGACCAAGCCCCAUGUGGCACAUUCAUCCAUUCGACUGUAUUUAUCGAGUGCUUACUUUGUGCGGAGCGCUGGACUAAGCGCUUGGGAGAGAACAGUAAUGAUAAGAAUUCCGGUAUCCGUUCGGCACCUGCGUGCCAGGCACUAAUCUAAACGCUGGGGUGGAUACGUGCAAAUUGGGUUGGACACGGUCCCUGUCCCCCGUGGGGCUCGCAGUCCCUAUUUUCCCUAUUUUCCAGAUGAGUUAACCGAGGCCCAGUGAAGUGGCUUGCCCAAGGUCAUCCAGCAGACGAGUGGCGGAGUCCGGAUUAGAACCCGUGACCUUCUGACUCCCAGGCCCGGGCUCUACCCACUAGACCGCACUGUCUUCCCAGUACAAUACUAAACAGUGACGCCCUGCCCACAAGGGGCUCACAGUGCCACUUGUCAGCUGUGCGACUCUGGGCGAGUCACUUCACUUCUCUGUGCCUCAGUUACCUCAUCUGUAAAAUGGGGAUGAAGACUGGGAGCCUCACGGGGGACGACCUGAUUCCCCCGUAUCUCCCCCAGCGCUUAGAACAGUGCUCGGCACAUAGGAAGCGCUUAACAAAUACCAACAUUUAAAAAAUAAAUAAAUAAUAAUAAUGUUGAUAUUUGUUUAGCGCUUCCUAUGUGCCGAGCACUGUUCUAAGCGCUGGGGGAGAUACGGGGGAAUGAGGCUGGCUCACGGGAGGCUCACAGUUUUCAUCCCCAUUUUAUAGAUGGGGUAACUGAGGCCCAGAGAAGUGAAGGGACUCGCCCACAGUCCCACAGCUGACAAGUGGCAGAGUCAGGAUUCGAACCCAUGACCUCGGACUCCCAAGCCCAACUCUUUCCACUGAGCCUCGCUGCUUUUCUGUAGGCGGGCUUGGGUCCAAGGUGAUUAGCUUGUCCGGCGCUUAGUACGCUGUUUUGGCCCGUAGUAGGCGCUUGACCAAGGGCGUCGUCAGCGGGCUGCCGUCAGCCCUCGCGCACGAGGGACCGAGGCCCCGCCCAACUGCGCGCGCCCAAUCGCUGCACAAACUACCUAAACCCCGCACGCGUCCAAUCCCCGUCCGCCUCCAAGCCCCGCCCUCCUGCGCGCGUCCAAUCCCCGUCCGCGCCCUAAGCCCCGCCCACGCGGCUUUCUAGCCCCGCCCUCCCGCGCGCGCGCGCCCAAUCCCCGUCUCCGGCCGCAAGCGCUCGCGCUAAGCCCCGCCCACCCGCGCGCCCAAUCACCUCACAUACAGUCUAAGCCCCGCCCACCCGCGCGCGCAGCCAAUCCCCGCCUCCGGCCACGAGCGUUCCCCUAAGCCCCCCCCAUCCGCGCGCGCCCAAUCACCGCACAUACUCCCUAAGCCCCGCCCACCCGGCGCGAGGCCCCGCCCAUCGACACGUGACCAACCCGCCCUCCCUCUCGGUCCAAGCCCCGUCCCCUCCCCUUUCUAGCCCCGCCCCCUCCCCUCCCUCUCCGGGCGGUGUCCGUG
This 2867-nucleotide long non-coding RNA is filed under the name Ornithorhynchus anatinus (platypus). RNAcentral's name for it is "lncRNA (ENSOANG00000041123.1)". The record is from RNAcentral. Lineage: Eukaryota; Metazoa; Chordata; Mammalia; Monotremata; Ornithorhynchidae.